This 796-nucleotide ribosomal RNA is filed under the name uncultured Nitrospira sp. RNAcentral's name for it is "bacterial SSU rRNA". It matches the Rfam family "Bacterial small subunit ribosomal RNA", at positions 8 to 796 of the family's 1533-position model. Lineage: Bacteria; Pseudomonadati; Nitrospirota; Nitrospiria; Nitrospirales; Nitrospiraceae. The record is from RNAcentral.
AGAGUUUGAUCCUGGCUCAGAACGAACGCUGGCGGCGCGCCUAACACAUGCAAGUCGCACGAGAGGCUGUCGCAAGACAGUCGUACAGUGGCGAACGGGUGAGUAACGCGUGGGUAACCUACCCUCGAGAGGGGAAUAACCCGCCGAAAGGCGGGCUAAUGCCGCGUACGCGCCCCGGGGGAUGCCCUGGGGCGGAAAGCUGCCGCGAGGCGGUGGCGCUCGAGGAGGGGCUCACGUCCUAUCAGCUGGUUGGUAGGGUAACGGCCUACCAAGGCUGCGACGGGUAGCUGGUCUGAGAGGACGAUCAGCCACACUGGCACUGCGACACGGGCCAGACUCCUACGGGAGGCAGCAGUGAGGAAUAUUGCGCAAUGGGCGCAAGCCUGACGCAGCGACGCCGCGUGGGGGAUGAAGGGCUUCGGCUUGUAAACCCCUUUCGGGGGGGAAGACGGUCGUAUACCCAUACGACGGACGGUACCCCCAGAAGCAGCCACGGCUAACUUCGUGCCAGCAGCCGCGGUAAUACGAAGGUGGCAAGCGUUGUUCGGAAUUACUGGGCGUAAAGGGCGCGUAGGUGGCCUUGUUAGUCAGACGUGAAAUCCCCAAGCUUAACUUGGGAACUGCGUCUGAUACUGCAAGGCUUGAGUUCGGGAGAGGGAUGUGGAAUUCCCGGUGUAGCGGUGAAAUGCGCAGAUAUCGGGAGGAACACCAGUAGCGAAGGCGGCUCGCUGGGCCAUUCCUGACGCUGAGACGCGAAAGCUAGGGGAGCGAACAGGAUUAGAUACCCCCGUAGUCC